UUUUAUGGAGAGUUUGAUCCUGGCUCAGGAUGAACGCUGGCGGCGUGCCUAAUACAUGCAAGUCGAGCGAACAGACGAGGAGCUUGCUCCUCUGACGUUAGCGGCGGACGGGUGAGUAACACGUGGAUAACCUACCUAUAAGACUGGGAUAACUUCGGGAAACCGGAGCUAAUACCGGAUAAUAUAUUGAACCGCAUGGUUCAAUAGUGAAAGACGGUUUUGCU
Molecule: ribosomal RNA, 224 nt
Filed under: Staphylococcus epidermidis NIHLM020
Lineage: Bacteria; Bacillati; Bacillota; Bacilli; Caryophanales; Staphylococcaceae
Description: partial 16S ribosomal RNA
Rfam family: Bacterial small subunit ribosomal RNA
Source: RNAcentral